This 295-nucleotide long non-coding RNA is filed under the name Linum usitatissimum (flax). RNAcentral describes it as "long non-coding RNA (LUSI_LNC001086)". Lineage: Eukaryota; Viridiplantae; Streptophyta; Magnoliopsida; Malpighiales; Linaceae. The record is from RNAcentral.
UCUGACAAGCUCUUCGCAAUCUCCGCUGCAAAGAAAUCCCUGCUUUGUUCCCCAGCGAUGCUUACAGAUGAAAUUGCUUUGGAAGCCACGUCACCGUCAUCCUUAGAUCCAAAUGCAACUUUUUGGCUGGCAGUUUCACCACUUACAGCUUCUAGCUUGCGAUCCUCAACUAGAUGUAAGAAUGGAUCUAUCUGAUCAUAAUAAAGGCAGGUUAAAAAAAUUCGGUGCAAGCAAUAAGUAAAAUGGAUAAUAUAUCUACAGUAAAUAGACCGGCAGAAAUACAACUGCAGUUUAC